UCGAGCGUUCAUCCGAGAUUGUCUAAAUUGAUUCAACGGCAUUGGGGCAAAAACCUACAUAUGCGCCCGUUUUCUCCAAGAUCACUGGGGAACUGGAAGAUAUAUUGCGGCCUAUUCAGGUAUGUUUGCUGGAAUUUGUUGGCCACAAGGCUCAUGAGAAGAUGGAAUCUGACAAAUAAAUUGAAGUAUUCUUCUGGGUUUUUUUUUUGCCUGCAGGCCUCCUCCAGCUCCAAAGGAGUAUGGCCACAUUCCAACCAAAGAUAAUUAAAUCGCGUCGGCAGAACACCCUCUAUUUUCACAUUGUCGCGUUGAAUAAUCGUGUGUAUGUCGACUGUGCCCCCUGUAUGUAUGUCAUGCAUAUUGAAUUUUGUGCUCGGUCUCCUAAAAUACAUGUCAUGUGGUUGUCGCAUGCUCGUGCAACAUAACCUAGGUGAUAUAGUUUUAUGUGUUGCACGGUUUUUUGUUUUGCAAGUGGCUAAUACGUAGUUAUGUACCCUUUGCAUUGUGGUUCAUGUAGAAUGAUGAGUUGGUCUUGUAAGAAAGAAGAGAUGAAAAUGCCAUCACAUUUUCCUUUUCAGUAUUAUUCAAUAUAUUUUUCUUGCCUGGAAUCUGACAGUUUAACAUGUUUUUGCAGUUUCUUUGGCAUCAGAUGUUUUUGCAGUUUCUUUGGCAUCAGAUUUUUUUGGUAGGAAUUGAUAACAAUCCGAUAGCAGCAGGAAUCGAGGAAAAAUCCUCUGUAGGGUCUCUUAUCUAACUGGUAGCCCUUAUCUAAAAUCUCUGAUAAUGGAUCUCUUUGCCCAGUUGGCAUAUUUGGUUACUGUACAUUUCUAUUAUUUUUGCUAGAGAACAG
Molecule: long non-coding RNA, 850 nt
Filed under: Triticum aestivum (bread wheat)
Lineage: Eukaryota; Viridiplantae; Streptophyta; Magnoliopsida; Poales; Poaceae
Description: long non-coding RNA (TAES_LNC024917)
Source: RNAcentral